AGAGUUUGAUCAUGGCUCAGGAUGAACGCUGGCGGCGUGCCUAACACAUGCAAGUCGAGCGAUUACUUCGGUAAAGAGCGGCGGACGGGUGAGUAACGCGUGGGUAACCUGCCUCAUACACAUGGAUAACAUACCGAAAGGUAUGCUAAUACAGGAUAAUAUAAGAGAUUCACAUGGAUUUCUUAUCAAAGCUCCGGCGGUAUGAGAUGGACCCGCGUCUGAUUAGCUAGUUGGUAAGGUAAUGGCUUACCAAGGCGACGAUCAGUAGCCGACCUGAGAGGGUGAUCGGCCACAUUGGAACUGAGACACGGUCCAAACUCCUACGGGAGGCAGCAGUGGGGAAUAUUGCACAAUGGGCGAAAGCCUGAUGCCAGCAACGCCGCGUGAGUGAUGAAGGCCUUCGGGUCGUAAAACUCUGUCCUCAAGGAAGGUAAUGACGGUACUUGAGGAGGAAGCCCCGGCUAACUACGUGCCAGCAGCAGC
Molecule: ribosomal RNA, 483 nt
Filed under: uncultured bacterium
Lineage: Bacteria
Description: bacterial SSU rRNA
Rfam family: Bacterial small subunit ribosomal RNA
Source: RNAcentral